UGAGCAUCGGUGAUGGAUUCUCACAAUCGUUAUCCUUGCACUUUGAUUGACAGUGAAUCUAGAUGCUCAUGGGGACUGUUAUUUCUGAUAUGCUU
Tripterygium wilfordii is the source of this 95-nucleotide small nucleolar RNA. RefSeq annotates it as small nucleolar RNA snoR26. Lineage: Eukaryota; Viridiplantae; Streptophyta; Magnoliopsida; Celastrales; Celastraceae. The transcript has a single exon. The record is from RefSeq and is a predicted model, not a curated record.